Non-coding RNA from Dermacentor andersoni, 1343 nucleotides. The record is from RefSeq and is a predicted model, not a curated record. NCBI's taxonomy places the organism in Eukaryota, Metazoa, Arthropoda, Arachnida, Ixodida, Ixodidae.
CAAUAAAAAAAAAGUGCAGAAGGUCACGUAAGCACAAGUUAACGAAGACAUGUGCACGGAAAAUCACUUUAUGUUGUUUGAAAAUGAAUUCGGCGCAUUGGAAGGCAGCAGGUACAACUUUCAACAACAACAUGGAAAUAAGUGCGCUAUGUCGGUCUCAAAUUUUCCGACAUCAUUAAGUAUAAGCGCCGAGUCUGCUGGCACGAGGUUCCAGUCAGGCGACGUUCCAGAAAUAGCGCAGCAUAAAUAACGCGAAGCGAAACAGCUCAUGCAUGCAGGGGUCGGGGAAAGGCGACCUUGCGCCAACGCUAUCGAGAUUCAUUAGUUCGCGAGCAGCUCCGCCGGUUGUUUAUAAAUGCAUGCGCCCGCGUCCGCACGUCCUCUUUUCUGAAGUUUGUGGUGGCUUAAACAGUAAACAUAUGUUAAUAUGACUUUGUUAUAGUCUGGCAUCGUCUACGCUCAGUACGCUACGUUAUUAUUAUUAUUAUUAUUAUUAUUAUUAUUAUUAUUAUUAUUAUUAUUAUUAUUAUUAUUAUUAUUAUUAUUAUUAUUAUCAUCGUCGUCGUCGUCGUCGUCGUCAUCCUCAUCGUCACCAUCCUCAUGGGCGUCGGUAGUAGUGGUAGUAAUUGCCCUUCCUUUGCCAAACUUACUAUUAACCUCUCUGAUAUGCACUCAAACCUAAUUGUGACGAACUGGUUCAUGCACUACAAAAAUUUCAAUAUAUCAAGUAAGCCGAUAUUGUCGAACUCGGGUAAUAGCGAAAUUCUGCUAACCUUUGAGAUGAUGUCUUCUUUCUGUAUUUUUUUUUCUUUCCUUUCUUUUUCACGCAGAUGCGCGCUAUACGGCCGAAACACCGCCAUACCGGCCUGCCUUUCGCAGCAGCAUGUGUAGCAGCUCCAAUUAACCAGAAUUCACUGGCCAAUCACAAACGCCGGAUCGUUCAUCACUCUAUCGUCCCUCACUGGUCUCCAACGUGGUGCUCCUGUCUCCAACGUGGUGGACCUGUCUCCAACAUGGCACAAUACGAGGCAGCCACGUGGCAAACUGAACCUGCCGUCAACGCUUUCUCCGGGAGUUCUCGACGAUGACCCUGUCAUCGAUCAGUGGCCUUUUCGUGACGGUCAGGAGGGGCGACGUCGCGGUCUUGAAGCGAGCUGCCUUGAAGUGAAUGAUGAGGCAUGAACAUCAACCGUGACAGCUGCGUGUCGAUGGUGGAUCAUCCUUUGUACUGUUGAAUCGCCAAGCAAAACAGCACCUGCGACAGCUGCGUGUUGCUGGUGAGGCAUACCCCGCUCUGAGGGACAGUCAGGCACCACCCAAUAAACUGUACCGCUCAACCCGCC